RNAcentral lists this ribosomal RNA (497 nucleotides) under uncultured bacterium. Its description in RNAcentral is "partial 16S ribosomal RNA". It matches the Rfam family "Bacterial small subunit ribosomal RNA", at positions 28 to 507 of the family's 1533-position model. The record is from RNAcentral.
GAUGAACGCUGGCGGCGUGCCUAAUACAUGCAAGUCGAGCGAACAGAUAAGGAGCUUGCUCCUUUGACGUUAGCGGCGGACGGGUGAGUAACACGUGGGUAACCUACCUAUAAGACUGGAAUAACUCCGGGAAACCGGGGCUAAUGCCGGAUAACAUUUAGAACCGCAUGGUUCUAAAGUGAAAGAUGGUUUUGCUAUCACUUAUAGAUGGACCCGCGCCGGAUUAGCUAGUUGGUAAGGUAACGGCUUACCAAGGCAACGAUCCGUAGCCGACCUGAGAGGGUGAUCGGCCACACUGGAACUGAGACACGGUCCAGACUCCUACGGGAGGCAGCAGUAGGGAAUAUUCCGCAAUGGGCGAAAGCCUGACGGAGCAACGCCGCGUGAGUGAUGAAGGUCUUCGGGUCGUAAAACUCUGUUAUUAGGGAAGAACAAAUGUGUAAGUAACUGUGCACGUCUUGACGGUACCUAAUCAGAAAGCCACGGCUAACUACGUG